This 208-nucleotide unclassified non-coding RNA is filed under the name soil metagenome. Its description in RNAcentral is "partial contains 5.8S ribosomal RNA, internal transcribed spacer 2, and large subunit ribosomal RNA". The record is from RNAcentral.
AACCAUUCUCACCUGCGGCUAGACCUGCGGAGGGAUCAUUACCGAGUUUACAACUCCCAAACCCCUGUGAACAUACCAAUUGUUGCCUCGGCGGAUCAGCCCGCUCCCGGUAAAACGGGACGGCCCGCCAGAGGACCCCUAAACUCUGUUUCUAUAUGUAACUUCUGAGUAAAACCAUAAAUAAAUCAAAACUUUCAACAACGGAUCU